GGUAACAGCCCACCAAGGCGAAGAUGGAUAGCUGGUCUGAGAGGACGAUCAGCCACACUGGGACUGAGACACGGCCCAGACUCCUACGGGAGGCAGCAGUGGGGAAUAUUGCGCAAUGGGGGAAACCCUGACGCAGCAACGCCGCGUGAGUGAUGAAGGCCUUCGGGUUGUAAAGCUCUUUCGGUUGGGAAGAAGGGGAGUUGUUUUAAUAAAGCAGUUCUUUGAUGGUACCAAAAGAAGAAGCACCGGCAAACUUCGUGCCAGCAGCCGCGGUAAUACGA
Molecule: ribosomal RNA, 281 nt
Filed under: uncultured Silvanigrella sp.
Lineage: Bacteria; Pseudomonadati; Bdellovibrionota; Oligoflexia; Silvanigrellales; Silvanigrellaceae
Description: partial 16S ribosomal RNA
Rfam family: Bacterial small subunit ribosomal RNA
Source: RNAcentral